This 66-nucleotide transfer RNA is filed under the name Oxidus gracilis. Its description in RNAcentral is "tRNA-Ile". The record is from RNAcentral. Lineage: Eukaryota; Metazoa; Arthropoda; Diplopoda; Polydesmida; Paradoxosomatidae. RNAcentral also lists the same sequence under 1 other name.
AGUUCAGUGUCUGAUUGAAAGAGUUAUUGUGAUGCAAUAAAGAAUACCAUUUAUUGGUUUGGGCUA